GGCAAUCAAGUGAGGGAGCAGGCGCGCAAUUACCCACUCCUGACACAGGGAGGUAGUGACAAGGAAUAGCAAUGCAGGUGGCAAUUGCCAUUGUGCUAUUGGAAUGAGUGGACUUUAAAUCCCUUUUCGACUAUCGAUUGGAGGGCAAGUCUGGUGCCAGCAGCCGCGGUAAUUCCAGCUCCAGUAGCGUAUAUUAAAGUUGUUGCGGUUGAAAAGCUCGUAGUUGGGUUUCUGCGGAGGAAGCGCGGUCCGCACUUGGUGCGUGUAUCUGGUCUACCUACGCAUCUUCCAGUGAAACGCUACUGCGCUUUAUUGCGUGGCGCGGCAAUCUGGACUUUUACUUUGAGGAAAUUGGAGUGUUUACAGCGAGCGAUUGGUUUGAACAUAUUAGCAUGGAAUAAUAACCUAGAACCUUGGUUCUAUUUUGUUGGUUUCUAGACUAGGGUAAUGAUCAAUAGGGAUAAUUGGGGGCAUUUGUAUCAACACGUCAGAGGUGAAAUUCUUGGAUUGUGUUACGACGAACCACUGCGAAAGCAUUUGCCAAGGAUGUUUUCAUUGAUCAAGAACGAAAGUGCAGGGAUCGAAGACGAUUAGAUACCGUCGUAGUCUGCACCGUAAACUAUGCCGAUUAAAGAUUGGAGGUCGUUCUUAUUGUGGCUCCUUCAGUAAUUUAUGAGAAAUCAAAAUUCUUGGGUUCCGGGGGGAGUAUGGUCGCAAGGCUGAAACUUAAAGGAAUUGACGGAAGGGCACCACCAGGAGUGGAGCCUGCGGCUUAAUUUGACUCAACACGGGGAAACUCACCAGGUCCAGACAUAGCAAGGAUUGACAGAAUGACAGCUCUUUCUUGAUUCUGUGGGUGGUGGUGCAUGGCCGUUCUUAGUUGGUGGAGUGAUUUGUCUGGUUAAUUCCGUUAACGAACGAGAUCUUAUCCUGCUAAAUAGGAACGUGUGUCUUCGGACAUGCAGGUUGCUUCUUAGAGGGACUUUGCGAAUUGAAGCGUAGGGAAGGUUGAGGCAAUAACAGGUCUGUGAUGCCCUUAGAUGUUCUGGGCUGCACGCGCGCUACACUGAUGCGUUCAACGAGUAUGCCUUGUCCGGCAGGACUGGGGAAUCUUGUGAAAGCGCGUCGUGAUGGGGAUAGAACACUGUAAUUAUUGUUCUUCAACGAGGAAUUCCUAGUAAGCGCGAGUCAUCAGUUCGUGUUGAUUACGUCCCUGCCCUUUGUACACACCGCCCGUCGCUCCUACCGAUGGAGUGGUCCGGUGAAUAAUUCGGAUCGAGAUCUGAAGCUCACGCUUCAAUUUUCGAAAAGUUUAGUAACCCUAUCCCCAAG
Molecule: ribosomal RNA, 1332 nt
Filed under: uncultured marine eukaryote
Lineage: Eukaryota
Description: SSU rRNA
Rfam family: Eukaryotic small subunit ribosomal RNA
Source: RNAcentral